UUAGGGUUUUCAGUGGGUCUGCGUCCGUACUUUCAAGGGUUUUCAAACUUUCUUUUUUCUUUUUAUUUCCUUUUCAGCAGUGGUUUUUUCCCUUUGUAGUGUUUUUGAGCUCUCUUUCCUGAGGCUCGACCCCUUGUCUACGCCUGUGCUUUUAAGGUUUUUUCAAAUUUUCUUUUUUCUCAAUAAAUUUUCCAUUUCAGCAGCAAUCUAUUUUUUUUUUAUAUAUACUAACACUAUCUCUACAAAUUGUAUAUUUAUUCUACUUACAACAACUUUAACAAUAAUCUGUAUCCAUCUUCAAAUAAAGACUCUUUUUUGUGGACGAAAAGAGUAUUAUUAUUGUAGACGAUGUAAUAUCUCAACUAACAUACAAUAUUUGAUGACGAAGAUCAAUGAAUAUCAAUCGAAUUCAAACGAAAAAUUAAAUUAAUUCAAGUGGAGCACGCUCUAAUGAUUUUGCUUAUUGUUCAUCGAGAACAAUACUUAUUCUUCGAGCUUCUUCUGGCCUGUGAGACGAUCUCAUCGAGAAUGAUAAUGAGAGCGACGAUGAAGGCACAAUCAACGUUCGGGUACACCGUCAUAUUAAACCUAUCCUCGCCG
This 600-nucleotide long non-coding RNA is filed under the name Salvia miltiorrhiza (redroot sage). Its description in RNAcentral is "long non-coding RNA (SMIL_LNC012569)". Lineage: Eukaryota; Viridiplantae; Streptophyta; Magnoliopsida; Lamiales; Lamiaceae. The record is from RNAcentral.